GAUGAACGCUGGCGGCGUGCCUAAUACAUGCAAGUCGAGCGAACAGACGAGGAGCUUGCUCCUCUGACGUUAGCGGCGGACGGGUGAGUAACACGUGGAUAACCUACCUAUAAGACUGGUAUAACUUCGGGAAACCGGAGCUAAUACCGGAUAAUAUAUUGAACCGCAUGGUUCAAUAGUGAAAGACGGUUUUGCUGUCACUUAUAGAUGGAUCCGCGCCGCAUUAGCUAGUUGGUAAGGUAACGGCUUACCAAGGCAACGAUGCGUAGCCGACCUGAGAGGGUGAUCGGCCACACUGGAACUGGGACACGGUCCAGACUCCUACGGGAGGCAGCAGUAGGGAAUCUGCCGCAAUGGGCGAAAGCCUGACGGAGCAACGCCGCGUGAGUGAUGAAGGUCUUCGGAUCGUAAAACUCUGUUAUUAGGGAAGAACAAAUGUGUAAGUAACUAUGCACGUCUUGACGGUACCUAAUCAGAAAGCCACGGCUAACUACGUG
RNAcentral lists this ribosomal RNA (497 nucleotides) under uncultured bacterium. Its description in RNAcentral is "partial 16S ribosomal RNA". It matches the Rfam family "Bacterial small subunit ribosomal RNA", at positions 28 to 507 of the family's 1533-position model. The record is from RNAcentral.